GUUGGUCUACGGUACAACGUAGGAACCGGUUUUGCAGGCGAGCAUGCUACGGGUUAGGACUUCCCUCACUUCCAGUGCAAUUGGUGAGCUCCGCUUUUGUUCGUGGAGUACUCCUUAGUGUCAUCUUUAUUUAGCUAUUUCUUUGUUCACUUAGAGACCUGGCCAGAAAAUCUCAUGUCCUGAGCAGUGCGUCAGUUUAUCAGUAGAGGCUUCAUAGACACAGUCGGUGAGUUAAGAUUCAAAUGUUUUUGAUAAUAAUUUAGUAGUAUUUCAGUAGUUAAUACGAAUAAAGUUUUGAAUUUGAUUUAUUUUAAAUAUUUAAAUUAAUCAAAAGUAUUUGGUUAAAGUAUUGCCUUGUUGCAUAUAAAGUUUGAAGUUAUAAUAGAUUUGGUAAGCACAGAUGGUUCGCUCGGUCAUGUUUAGUGAUCGGGUUCCGGUCACGACUUGUUCAGAAAAUGAGUCGUGACAAAAGGGAUAAUGAUAUUACCAAUUGAAUAAUGAUAUUAUUCAUCCCCUAAAUUAAUAAGGUUCUCAUUCGAGCAAAAAUGAUAGUAUCUCUUGUAUCGUCUAUCAUUUUUUAUUCUUUUUCUUUCUUUUCCUACAGCUACUUCCUUUUUCUCUCCUCUUUUCUACUGUUACUAAAAAAGACAGAAACUUUGGCCCAUCCCUUCACCCACUUCAUGCCUAUGAAGUUUUAUUUUCUAGUAUUUCUCUGAGAAAAUAUUCAAAAUUGCUUCUUUUGUUUCAAGAUUUUUUUUUUUUGUUUCACAUAUAAGCAUGGAGGAAAAAGUGUCUAGUCGAAUUCUUUUGAGUUCUUGUUUCUUUCUGUUCCACUAACACUUCAAAAUUAUUUAUCCUUUCACAUAAUUAAUAUAGACUGUAAAAAAUAUGUAACAAAACAGUUCAAACCUAUGAUGUUACCAUGUAAAUUGUAAAUUGUAAAUCAUGACAACUUCAUAUAAUCACAUUAAUAUUGCUCAAUUGUAGUAAUCUAAAUAGAAUAAAAGAAAAUGUUUGAGGGAUAAUAUAAUAAUUAGAAAAUGUGAGAAUACUUAUAAAAGGGUUUACUUUAAUUCUUUUACGUUAAUUACAAUAUCACGAAAUUUAUCUAUACGCAAUAAAAUCUGAUCUUUAACAUGAAGUAAAUAAAAAAGGUUACUUGUAAUACUAUUUACCAAAAAUCUUGUUCUUGCCGGUCUUCCCAUGUGUAUCAUCAUGCCUCCAGGCUCCAAUUUCUCAUUUUUUUUCCGUGCAAAUCCUCUCCUGAAUUGUAUCAUUAAAAAAAAGGACUCUAUUACAAUUAAUUCAUCAAACAACCUUUACGAACUCUUUUUGUGCUCUGUUUCUUCGAUCAUUCUUCCACUGAUGCUAAAUGCAUCUGUAUUUUCUAAUAUACACAUGUAAAUGUAUGUGAAAUUGUGUGUGAGAAAGAAGAAAAUAAAAGAAGCGUAAUUAAGUAGAUUAAUGGGAAGAAGAGGAAGUCAAGGUUUUUUGGCUUUCUUAGGGAAAGCAAACGUAUAAUUGAAAAGGUAGAGGGAAGCUUUGAAACGGUGCUUUAAUUGUGACUCAAUAAGUGAGUGACGUUUCAAUGAAACGUUUGGNNNNNNNNNNNNNNNNNNNNNNNNNUUAAUUAACAUUAACAUCCGGAACAAUAUGGGCCAAUCACAGCUGAGUUAGUGGCGUAGUGCGUACCUAUAUAUAUAAGAAGACUCAACUCAACUUCAGUAUUUUUCAGCUGUCCUCUCCACAAGUUUCCAGAACCUUCUCCCCUCUCUAAUCUAUUGCAUCAGUAAUUUAAAGAGAUACUCCUAUAUAUCAUGUUUCGUCUUUUAGAAUAUCACUUAAUCGUAGAAAUUGCGAAGGCAUGAAAUACCUGUAGUUUUCAUGCUCGUGUGAUUCUCGUUUCUGAGGACUGAGGAGGUCGUAUUGAAGCAUGAAUAGGCGGCACAACAGUUUGACAUUGGAGGCCACUUACUACAGCAUUUGUUAAAGUCAUUCAGGUUGGCUGAGAACUUUAAGAAUCUACUGUAGUUGUUUUUGUCUUUCUUUUAUUUUGCAUAUGUUGCAGAUGCUUGCUAAUGAUUUACUUAUCCAUUUGAUAUGUUAGGCAGCAGCCUUGAAAAUUAUGAAAUUCUUGCUGAAAUGAAGUAGCAGAAUUUGUAAUUAUUGAAACUUUUUUCAUUGGAGUGUGCAAAGCAUUAUAGAGUGGUGAGUCAUUUGGAGUGAAUAGUCUGUACAAUUUGGAGAAAGUUGUGAUAAGUGAAUGAAGAAAGAAGUAAGUACACAUUGAACAAACUUUGCAUGAAUAAAUUGAAAAAAAAAUAAAAAAUCUUAACUUCUAGCAGCAAAAUCAUCUUGGGCCUGAUAGGACUGAAGGUAGUAAACUGUAAAGGAGUUGAAUCUGAAAAAGUAAUAUUUGGUAAUUUACUCAUUGUUUGUGGCUUAAAGAAGCUAUAGUCCAGAUUCUUUUCAACAUCCAAAACACCUUCCAUUGACUUGACAACCAUUGACAUUGAAGGCCUCUUUGUGUAAUCACUUUGUAAACACCAGGCAGCAAUCUGCAUAGUCUCUAUUACUUCUUCUUUGUAAGACUGCAUAUCUUCACUAUGCUUAUCAAUAAGAUCCUCCAAUUUCCCUUCCUCUGCCUUUUUCUUGAAUAAGUUCAACAUUACCCUUUGCUCUUCUGACUCGGAUGCCUCAAAAUGUCUUCUUCCACUCAAAAUUUCCAAGAUCACAAUGCCAAAGCUGUAGACGUCUACCUUUUCUGUUAUAACUCCACUAAGCCAUUCAGGAGCCAAAUAACCAGGAGUGCCUCUCAUCGUAGUCAUGACUUGGCUAUGAUUCCGAUCAAUUAGCUUUGAAAGCCCAAAGUUAGAGAGCUUAGCGUUGUGCUUCUCAUCUAGGAGUAUGUUUGGGGGAUUAAUAUCCAGAUGUAGAAUCUUUUGCCUGCAUUCUUCGUGAAGGUAAGCUAAACCUUUGGCUAUGUCUUGAAUAAUCUUCCGCCUGCAGUUCCAAUCAAGAGUAAGCUCUUGUUUCCCAUGGUAAAUCCAUUUUUCAAGUGAUCCAUUGAUCAUAAACUCAUAUAUUAAAAGCCUGUGAGAUUUCUCAGCACAGAAGCCAAUUAAUUGCACCAAGUUUACAUGAUGUAUGUUGCCAAAUAGUUUCAACCUCGGCUAGGAAUGAUUUUUUGACUUGGCCUAUUCCGUCGAGGCAUUUCACUACAAUCUUUGUGCCAUCUUCCAGGCACCCCUCAAAUACCGACCCAAAUCCUCCUUCGCCAAGCUUCUUCGUAAAAUUCUCUGUUGGAGCCUUUAGAUCAUCAUAAGAAAAUCUAGUGGGCAUUCCCGGCAUGUGAUCUAGAUAAUUCUCCUCGUCUUCAUUGGAUUUUCUCUUCUUCGAGAAUAUGAAAAUUGUAUUUGCAAUUAUGAUGCCUAAGAUGGAAAGUCCUAUGACAGAGCCCAGUUUAGCACUAUUAAUACUCUUUUCCCCUUUUGCAGCUGCUAGUUCAACUUCAACCUGUACUUUUAUAAAUGCAUUGGAAGCAUACCUUGUCCUGGCCUUGUCAUUAUUCGCUAGUGAAAAGAUCUCGGAUGGUAGGUAGCACUCCCCCAACGGAAGAGUUUAAACCACUACGAAAUAAAGCAGCUUUACAGGAACAGUUCCUCAAACAUGCAUCUUUACAGGUAUUCAUAUCAGUGUUUCUAAUAUCUGCAGUAAAUGCGAAAUAGUCCACAUCUUGAAGUUCCAAAAAUCUGUGGUUAUUUAAAUCAUCACAAGUCAGCCUUGUGACCUCAGAACAACCAAGAUUAGCCUGCCUAUCAUCUAUCUGUCUGAAAUAGCUUGUUGAAUUAGAGCAUGAUUUGGGACAACUACACUGGCCCCUUGAGAAAAUACCGUAUAUUCCGCAGACCAUGGGGUAAUAACACUCACCAUAAAAAUUUGUCAGGAGAUCAUCCACCUCUUUCCACUGACCUCGCCAAUCAUACACUUUUAAGCUUCCAUCAGGCUCAAGUUUCAUGUAUUGGUAUCCAAGGUCGUUCAAAUUUUGAUGAUUAUUUUGAUCUUUUCGCUUUGUGCUUUGGGGCUUCGCACUUAGAAAUAAUAGAGUUCUACACUUCUACGGUUGGUCAAUGGGAGUAUA
Molecule: long non-coding RNA, 4141 nt
Filed under: Nicotiana tabacum (common tobacco)
Lineage: Eukaryota; Viridiplantae; Streptophyta; Magnoliopsida; Solanales; Solanaceae
Description: long non-coding RNA (NTAB_LNC007749)
Source: RNAcentral